Molecule: transfer RNA, 90 nt
Filed under: Brevundimonas halotolerans
Lineage: Bacteria; Pseudomonadati; Pseudomonadota; Alphaproteobacteria; Caulobacterales; Caulobacteraceae
Also listed under: 36 other names
Description: tRNA-Ser
Rfam family: tRNA
About the family: Transfer RNA (tRNA) molecules are approximately 80 nucleotides in length. Their secondary structure includes four short double-helical elements and three loops (D, anti-codon, and T loops).
Source: RNAcentral
GGACAGGUGGCGGAGUGGUCGAUCGCGCACGCUUGGAAAGCGUGUGUACGUGAAAGCGUACCGAGGGUUCGAAUCCCUCUCUGUCCGCCA